UGGCGGACGGGUGAGUAAUGUCCGGGAAACUGCCUGAUGGAGGGGGAUAACUACUGGAAACGGUAGCUAAUACCGCAUAACGUCGCAAGACCAAGAGGGGACCUUCGGGCCUCUUGCCAUCAGAUGUGCCCAGAUGGGAUUAGCUAGUAGGUGGGGUAACGGCUCACCUAGGCGACGAUCCCUAGCUGGUCUGAGAGGAUGACCAGCCACACUGGAACUGAGACACGGUCCAG
Molecule: ribosomal RNA, 233 nt
Filed under: uncultured Enterobacterales bacterium
Lineage: Bacteria; Pseudomonadati; Pseudomonadota; Gammaproteobacteria; Enterobacterales
Description: partial 16S ribosomal RNA
Rfam family: Bacterial small subunit ribosomal RNA
Source: RNAcentral